CACUACUCUGGCAUUUGAUUCCAGUAAUGAACUCAUUAAUGAAUUAAUUCAGUAGAGUAAACACACAGCUUCAUUGCAGAUGGUUUGCCGCAAGGCACGGCCCAUUUUUCGACAAACCCACCAGAUCCAUAAGUGUUCCCGUACCAAAAUAUGUGAAUAAAUGAUCUUCAAAAUGUUUUUUCUUAUGCAGGCAGUGGGAUUUUUAUGAACAGAAGAAAUGUAAACAAAGCUUUGCUUCACACACAAGUUCACAACAAGUUAUGAACCUGUGAACUCAGCUUUGAUGGUUCGGUUAUCUGUUUUGAGAGCAGCGACAUGAGGCUAGAGGAAUGCGCUAAACUGAUUGACAAAAACAGGACCUUUGAACAACAUGUUCAGUGUAUUCUGCAUCAUGGAGGCAUUAAUACUCAAUUUAGAACAAAUCUUUUUUUUCAUUGUCAUUUGGGAGUUCUUCACAAGGAGCCUAAGGAAGUCUGAACACGAAGAAGGCAACAUAUCUCACGGACAUACACGAGGGAAGAAAUUGGUGCACACCGGCAAAAUGACAUUACUGAAUAAGCAGUUCUGCACAAAAUGACUGCAAGCCUCGUAGCCAGUGGUAUCUGUGGAGCCGGCGAACGUAGUGCUUGAGCUCUUCUCCUCCACGUCUCCUCCACCCACAGUC
Electrophorus electricus (electric eel) is the source of this 664-nucleotide non-coding RNA. Lineage: Eukaryota; Metazoa; Chordata; Actinopteri; Gymnotiformes; Gymnotidae. The record is from RefSeq and is a predicted model, not a curated record.